ACUUGUACAGAGUUUUAAUUUCUCUAAAUUUAUGCCUCUUUUAACCAGCCUUGCACAGCGCAGAGCAUGCUCCUCACCUGGGCGUUUCAGCUCGGCUUCCUUCCCCUUCCUGGAAUAGCAUCUCACAUCUGCUGAGGUCCAAGGGAAAACUCCUUCAGAUGUCAAAGGAGGCCCAGCUGGAGCACUCGUGUGUGCCCUGAGCUGAGGUCCUGCCGGGCAGUGCCCCACUGAGUGACCCCGAGACAGCGGCUGCUCCGUGCUCCCGAGACAAGGAGGAAGCUCUGCAGACACAACUCCCAGAAAAGCUGUCACGUCCCUGCUUCUGCAGCCUUGGCUCUGGUCACAGAAGUCAUCAAGGGAAAGAUGUCCGAUUUCACACGUAUUCGUCUGAUGUGGAGCUCCUGGGUGGAAUUCACAGGCCUGUACCAGUAGCUCCUCAGCUCUUUCCACAGAUCAUACCACGACUGAGACGUCCCCUCCCAGGUGUGAAGGACAUCCACAAAGUUGGCAUCAUCAGGGGAGAGGCGCCUGCUGGGGUCCACUCCUUCAAACAUGGGGCCAGCAGGAUCCAAGCCUGGAGUCAGAGACAGAACACAAGGGGCCAGGUAAGAAAUUGGGCUGUUUCAUACAGAGCACAGCCAGAAGCCUGCUGCUGGCAGGUCUCCUCACCAGCUGAUUCACAGACAGUCCCAGCCUCAUUGCUGGUACUGUCCCUCAAGAUGUCUUCACCACGGGCUCACUGGCAUAAAUAAAAACGUCCCACUCCACUUUUGGGGCAGCACAACCCAAUAGCAGCACCAUGAUGAGAUUGGCUGUUGGAAGCAAAGAGCCUUCACCAGGGGAUGGUGAAGAGAUGGUUCAAGAGGCAGCUCCAAACACCAGAAGAGGGACAGCUGGCAGCCAAAGCUGCCUCAGUGACAUUUAGUCUGUUUUCAGACUGCAGAUAUGGAGGGACUAACACAAAGCAGCAGCCAAGAAUUACCUUCAUCUGAGAUCCCAUGAUGGGUUUGGGAUGUUCUGUUUACCCCUGAGCCUCACCCCCAACCAGAAGCUGCACUCCAGAGCAUUUCUACAACUUGACUGUUAGGUGAUUUUUUUUUCCCCUGAUUAAUUAAAUACAUUUAUUGCUAGGCUAUGUGGAAUUCUAACUGCCAGUGUCACAUGUAAAUCCUUAAUGCAACUCCUUGUACUAUGCCCUAAGUUCUCACAUGUUGAAAUCAGCUUUCCUCUGGAGCUGGAAGCAAACUCUUCAGAUACUUCCAGAAUGAGGGUUUGGAGUUGAUUUCUUUUUUUUAAUCAGAUAUCCUGUGGGACAAACAGCACCCAAUAGCUCUCGCCUCCAUUAGCUUAUGAGCUAUAAUUACAAAAACACUAUCACUCAGAGGAAUAGCAUUUGGAUAGUAAGAGCUUGAGCUGGACUUGUUUCGGAGCCACAUUUAAAUUCAAACAAACCCAGAACCAGUUUGUCCUGGGUAAGGUUUUUUCACUGAAGCCUUGCUAUAAUUGAUAUGAGGAGACCUGUGCUUUCCACUGCUGCCACAAGCAGAAAAUUUGUCAUUUCUGGAAGAAUAACACCAAAACAACAUUGUAGCAACACAGGAAACGAGCCUGUUCGGGGAAACUCACUGCCAGG
Molecule: long non-coding RNA, 1633 nt
Organism: Passer montanus (Eurasian tree sparrow)
Lineage: Eukaryota; Metazoa; Chordata; Aves; Passeriformes; Passeridae
Exons: 3
Source: RefSeq, a predicted model, not a curated record